GGGAUUGCCCUAGUAACGGCGAGUGAAGCGGCAACAGCUCAAAUUUGAAAUCUGGCUCUUUCAGAGUCCGAGUUGUAAUUUGCAGAGGGCGCUUUGGCGUUGGCAGCGGUCCAAGUUCUUUGGAACAGGACGUCACAGAGGGUGAGAAUCCCGUACGUGGUCGCUAGCCUUGGCCGUGUAAAGCCCCUUCGACGAGUCGAGUUGUUUGGGAAUGCAGCUCUAAAUGGGAGGUAAAUUUCUUCUAAAGCUAAAUACUGGCCAGAGACCGAUAGCGCACAAGUAGAGUGAUCGAAAGAUGAAAAGCACUUUGGAAAGAGAGUCAAAUAGCACGUGAAAUUGUUGAAAGGGAAGCGCUUGCAGCCAGACUUGCCUGUAGUUGCUUAUCUGGACUUUUGUCCGGUGCACUCUUCUGCGGGCAGGCCAGCAUCAGUUUGGGCGGUUGGAUAAAGGUCUCUGUCAUGUACCUCCUUUCGGGGAGGCCUUAUAGGGGAGACGACAUGCAACCAGCCUGGACUGAGGUCCGCGCAUCUGCUAGGAUGCUGGCGUAAUGGCUGUAAGCGGCCCGUCUUGAAACACGGACCAAGGAGUCUAACAUCUAUGCGAGUGUUUGGGUGUCAAGCCCAGACGCGUAAUGAAAGUGAACGGAGGUGGGAACCCUUUGGGUGCACCAUCGACCGAUCCUGAUGUCUUCGGAUGGAUUUGAGUAAGAGCAUGGCUGUUGGGACCCGAAAGAUGGUGAACUAUGCUUGAAUAGGGUGAAGCCAGAGGAAACUCUGGUGGAGGCUCGCAGCGGUUCUGACGUGCAAAUCGAUCGUCAAAUUUGGGCAUAGGGGCG
RNAcentral lists this ribosomal RNA (835 nucleotides) under cf. Stagonospora sp. CBS 516.74. RNAcentral describes it as "eukaryotic LSU rRNA". It matches the Rfam family "Eukaryotic large subunit ribosomal RNA", at positions 71 to 925 of the family's 3401-position model. The record is from RNAcentral. Lineage: Eukaryota; Fungi; Ascomycota; Dothideomycetes; Pleosporales; Massarinaceae.